CAAACUAUAGCUUAGUUAAAGCAUCUUGCUUACACCAAGAAGACGUCUUCUAAACAGGACUGUUUUGAAUUUAUUUAG
This 78-nucleotide transfer RNA is filed under the name Eleutherodactylus cooki. RNAcentral's name for it is "tRNA-Val". Lineage: Eukaryota; Metazoa; Chordata; Amphibia; Anura; Eleutherodactylidae. The record is from RNAcentral.